CUAAUGUGACAGAUUAAUGUAAUAAAUUUAAGAUUUAAAUAUGAAAUAUUUCCUUUAGAAA
This 61-nucleotide transfer RNA is filed under the name Pseudophacopteron aewagriini. Its description in RNAcentral is "tRNA-Leu". The record is from RNAcentral. Lineage: Eukaryota; Metazoa; Arthropoda; Insecta; Hemiptera; Phacopteronidae.